GCACUGCUGAGGAGUCCCAUACUAGGACGAUGCGGCCGUCCAGUGC
Non-coding RNA from Schistosoma margrebowiei, 46 nucleotides. The record is from Rfam. NCBI's taxonomy places the organism in Eukaryota, Metazoa, Platyhelminthes, Trematoda, Strigeidida, Schistosomatidae.